RNAcentral lists this ribosomal RNA (253 nucleotides) under uncultured bacterium. RNAcentral's name for it is "partial 16S ribosomal RNA". It matches the Rfam family "Bacterial small subunit ribosomal RNA", at positions 524 to 776 of the family's 1533-position model. The record is from RNAcentral.
UACGUAGGUGGCGAGCGUUGUCCGGAAUCACUGGGCGUAAAGGGCGCGUAGGCGGGUGAGCAAGUCAGGUGUAAAAACUAUCGGCUCAACCGGUAAGUAGCACUUGAAACUGUUCAUCUUGAGUACUGGAGAGGGAAGCGGAAUUCCUAGUGUAGCGGUGAAAUGCGUAGAGAUUAGGAGGAACACCAGUGGCGAAGGCGGCUUCCUGGCCAGCAACUGACGCUGAGGCGCGAAAGCGUGGGGAGCAAACAGG